This 462-nucleotide ribosomal RNA is filed under the name uncultured bacterium. Its description in RNAcentral is "partial 16S ribosomal RNA". It matches the Rfam family "Bacterial small subunit ribosomal RNA", at positions 29 to 507 of the family's 1533-position model. The record is from RNAcentral.
AACAAACGCUGGCGGCGUGCCUAAUACAUGCAAGUCGAACGGGGAAAGCUUUCGGGUGAGUACUAGUGGCGCACGGGUGAGGAACGCGUGGAUAAUCUGCCUUAGAGUGGGGGAUAACUAGUCGAAAGAUUAGCUAAUACCGCAUAAGACCACGAGAGCUGCGGCUUUUGAGGUCAAAGGUUUUUCGCUCUAAGAUGAGUCCGCGUAAGAUUAGCUAGUUGGUGAGGUAACGGCUCACCAAGGCGACGAUCUUUAACUGGUCUGAGAGGAUGAUCAGUCACACUGGAACUGAGACACGGUCCAGACUCCUACGGGAGGCAGCAGUAGGGAAUAUUGCACAAUGGAGGAAACUCUGAUGCAGCGACGCCGCGUGAGUGAUGAAGGCCUUCGGGUCGUAAAGCUCUGUCACAGGGGAAUAACACAAUGAAGGUACCCUGUAAGAAAGGAUCGGCUAACUUCGUG